CCAAAGGCUCUUUUCAGAGCCACUCAACAGUCUCAGUUAAAGAGCUU
This is a non-coding RNA of Otolemur garnettii (small-eared galago), 47 nucleotides long. Lineage: Eukaryota; Metazoa; Chordata; Mammalia; Primates; Galagidae. The record is from Rfam.